RNAcentral lists this ribosomal RNA (504 nucleotides) under uncultured bacterium. Its description in RNAcentral is "partial 16S ribosomal RNA". It matches the Rfam family "Bacterial small subunit ribosomal RNA", at positions 29 to 523 of the family's 1533-position model. The record is from RNAcentral.
AUUGAACGCUGGCGGCAGGCCUAACACAUGCAAGUCGGACAGUAGCACAGGGAGCUUGCUCUCGGGUGACGAGUGGCGGACGGGUGAGUAAUGUCUGGGGAUCUGCCCGAUAGAGGGGGAUAACCACUGGAAACGGUGGCUAAUACCGCAUAACGUCGCAAGACCAAAGAGGGGGACCUUCGGGCCUCUCACUAUCGGAUGUACCCAGAUGGGAUUAGCUAGUAGGCGGGGUAACGGCCCACCUAGGCGACGAUCCCUAGCUGGUCUGAGAGGAUGACCAGCCACACUGGAACUGAGACACGGUCCAGACUCCUACGGGAGGCAGCAGUGGGGAAUAUUGCACAAUGGGCGCAAGCCUGACGCAGCCAUGCCGCGUGUAUGAAGAAGGCCUUCGGGUUGUAAAGUACUUUCAGCGGGGAGGAAGGCGAUGUGGUUAAUAACCGCAUUGAUUGACGUUACCCGCAGAAGAAGCACCGGCUAACUCCGUGCCAGCCGCCGCGGUAA